AUUAUCAGACUAAUUCUCCACAGUGACAAAAAUAGCCAAGGUGUUUAUAUCUAACUACUUUUGUUGAAUGCAGAGAUGGAUUUGAUUUUAAAGACAUGGGGACACGCUAACUACGCCACUGUGCUUGUCCUUUCUUAUGUCUUCAUUUACACAUAUUUAGGUAAAUAUGUCCAUUCAUAUUAACUGCCUCUCAGCUGCCCUCUACUAAAACGUGAUAAAGAUGGUGAAAUUGCCUGAGGACAGCACCAACAUUAUUCUGCUGGAAAAGCUGAAAGAAGAAUGCAAAUGGAGGCAUGGCUUACCUCAAUAUCCCAUUACCAGCAAGGAACAUGAGGACUGCAGUGAUUCUUCUGUAUCUGAUUGUCCUCGGUAUCCUGGUAACAGUAGUAAUCAUAGCAGGCUGCAUACUCCAAUCCUUCCUAAUGGAACAGGAAAUUGAAACGCCACCCCCAACCAACAUCUACAUAAAAGAAAGGAAACAAUUGUGUGGACAAGUUAUGCUGACUUUGCAGAACAACAUUCAUGUGAAAUUGUGAACAUGCACAUUAACAACAACUGUUUAUUAAUAAUGUGUACCUGCUAACUUACUUGUUCUUCCUCCUCUAUGGAGUUGUAGGCUGACGGGAUAUUCUGAGAAACUUCCUGCAACGUGUCCCUUCCAACACUGCAUCUUCUAGGCCAUUUCCAGGCAAACAUCUUCUGCUCCCUGUGGAAGAGAUCAACAGUCCUGGCUCAAAAUCUUCCGGAUACUGGACCUGAAACUUGUGCCCCCAGUCCACUCAAUCAA
Stegostoma tigrinum is the source of this 787-nucleotide long non-coding RNA. RefSeq lists it as uncharacterized. The record is from RefSeq and is a predicted model, not a curated record. Lineage: Eukaryota; Metazoa; Chordata; Chondrichthyes; Orectolobiformes; Stegostomatidae. The transcript is spliced from 3 exons.